Molecule: long non-coding RNA, 932 nt
Organism: Acanthopagrus latus (yellowfin seabream)
Lineage: Eukaryota; Metazoa; Chordata; Actinopteri; Spariformes; Sparidae
Exons: 3
Source: RefSeq, a predicted model, not a curated record
AUUGUUUUCUGUUUUCUGUAUGCUCUUGUUCCUGCUCUUGUUCCUGCUCCUCCCGAAUGGGUGCUGAAAAGACACCAAAUGAAUAUGAAGUAGCUGUACACCGUUCCAUUUGAAAGAAGGAGCUGCACUACCAGUAUGAACAGGGUAUAAUGGAACUGGAGGCAAGUGAACCACCGCACAACUUCAUCUAUACGGAUGAGGCUGGCUUCAAUCUAACAAAAUGCAGAAGACGUUGUCGAAAUAUCAUUGGCCACAGAGCUACAGUUAAUGUGCCAGCGGGGUGGUAACAUAACCAUGGGUGCUGCUAUCUCUGAGAAUGGUGUGCUAAUGCAUAAUUCCAUCAUUGGGCCAUACAAAACAGAGCAUCUUGUCACCUUUCUAGACACUCUCUACAGGAAUCUCAUCCCUGAACAAGAGAGGAGUCAGAUUGGAGAUGACUAGCCAAAGUACGUCAUAGUUUGGGACAAUGUCAGUUUCCAUCGCUCAAGCAUCAUCAGGCAAUGGUUUAUGACACACAACAGGAUGCUGAUGGAGUUCCCCUAACCCUACUCCCCAUUCCUUAACCCCACUGAGGAAUUUUUCUCAGCAUGGAGAAAGAAAGUAUAUGAUCGCCAGCCACAUAGACAAAAGACCCUUCUGGCUGCCAUGGAUGCAGCGUCUGAUGACAUCACAGCAGAUGCCUGUAGAGGCUGGAUAAGACACUCUAAAACAUUCUUUCCAUGCUGCAUGGCAAGAGAAGAUAUUUGUUGUGAUGUGGAUGAGAAUUUUUGGCCCAACACACAGGAAUGUUGGGAGGUGUAGGAAGACUACACUGUAAUUCCUACAGCACUGCAUGUACAGUUUUCCCUAAGGAGAUUGUCCUGUGUUUUCCUUUCUGUAUCGCAAUGACCUGGUCUGUCAACAAAUUACCAACAGUAAAAGCAUAAAGGUGA